This 417-nucleotide ribosomal RNA is filed under the name uncultured bacterium. RNAcentral's name for it is "bacterial SSU rRNA". It matches the Rfam family "Bacterial small subunit ribosomal RNA", at positions 30 to 446 of the family's 1533-position model. The record is from RNAcentral.
AUUGAACGCUGGCGGUAUGCUUAACACAUGCAAGUCGAACGGUAACAGGCCUUCGGGCGCUGACGAGUGGCGGACGGGUGAGUAACGCGUAGGAAUCUGCCUCAUAGUGGGGGACAACGUGGGGAAACUCACGCUAAUACCGCAUACGCCCUACGGGGGAAAGCGGGGAGUCUUCGGACCUCGCGCUAUGAGAUGAGCCUGCGUUAGAUUAGCUAGUUGGUAGGGUAAAGGCCUACCAAGGCGACGAUCUAUAGCUGGUCUGAGAGGACGAUCAGCCACACUGGGACUGAGACACGGCCCAGACUCCUACGGGAGGCAGCAGUUGGGGAAUAUUGGACAAUGGGGCGCAAGCCUGAUCCAGCAAUAACCGCGUGUGUGAAGAAGGCCUUAGGUUGUAAAGUCACUUUCAAUUAGGGA